Molecule: RNA transcript, 1600 nt
Organism: Camelina sativa (false flax)
Lineage: Eukaryota; Viridiplantae; Streptophyta; Magnoliopsida; Brassicales; Brassicaceae
Source: RefSeq, a predicted model, not a curated record
CUAGCUCGACUACACACCUUACAAGUCAAUGUCCUAACUUGUACUCUUAACAGUUCUCAUCAACUUGCACCAACUCUAGAGACUAAGACUUAACUAACUUAGUUAAAACUUAACAGAACAACAUUACAACCAAGUGGGUCUUAACUAAACCCUUUAACAAUUCUUCUUUGACAUGGGCCUUGACCACUCAUACACCAGCAGGCCCAUAACACAUCAUUGUCCUUCUCGACUUCUCUUCUUUCACGAUUCUUCUUCUUCUUCGUUUAGCUUCCACACUUCUGGUUCUUCAUCAUCUUAAUCUCACUUUUCUUGCCUUUCUCUUUUGCAGGAUUAAUCGAAAAUUCAUCCCUCAACACUCCCUCUUGAGUUUUCGAUUUGGACUCUUGAUUCCAGGUUGGGAUUUUGAAUUUUGACGCCUUUACUUCUCCAAUAAAGGUUCCUUUUCUCUUCAUCUGAGAGCCACUUUUCAGAACAUCUGCAUAGGUCAUCGGCGAGUUUGAUUUUCCGAUCUCCUUCUUAAUUGGGAUUUCUGUGAUUUUCCCUUGAGGCUCUGGACACAAACUUAUGUCUCCAAACUUGAUGGCAUUCGAUCCAAGCAAAGAACCUCCCUGAUUCUUAACUUCCAGCGAUGGCUUUUUCCUUCACAGUUCCAGCUUCAUUCUUCUUAGGUUGAUGAGUUUCAGGUACCUCAGCUAUCUUCCUUCCAGCAGGAUCGUGAAUGGUACAACCUCUGUGAUUAAACUCAACUUCAUAGUCUCUUUCAAUCAUUUGAGAUCAACAGAUUUUUGCAUAGCUCCAUUACCUACACGUACAGGAAUAUUGAAGCUUGUGUUGAUGUGAGUAAACAACUUCUCAUAUGGCGUCAUGUGAUUUGUGCAUCCACUAUCAAUGAGCCAGUUACUGAUUAGAUGACCUACUUUUCCACAGUGAAAACAGCUUCUAGUGUCUCUGUUUCCAUUGAGAGCAGAAGGCUCCUUCUGCUUCUUCUUCAUCCUCUGGAAAGAAUUUCUUCUCAUGUGCCUCCAGAGAUCCAAGCAGCUCAGCAUAUGUAACAUUGUUCAAAUCCUUUGUUUCUUCCAUUAAGGAUGACAAGCCGGCAUAGCUUUUUGGCAUAGAAGCCAGCAUUUUCACUACUAAAUCAAAGUUAGAUUUACCCUCACCUAAAGAUCUCAUCUGAUUUGCUACAGCCUGAAUCCUAUCCGAGAGUGCUCCAGAAGUUUCCAUGCUUGGUGUGCUGAGUUUGCAGAAAUGAUCUUGUCAAACACCGCAUCAACCACUGCAUGCUGAAUGAUUUGUAGAGCAGCCAUAUCUUUAGCUUUGAGUGCCUUCAGGUUUGCAGUUUCUUUGCUCUUAUAUGUUCCUGGAGUUGCAGACCAUAACUCGUAAUUCUGCCAUCAAAGACUGCAAUAAGAUGAGGCUCCAAGGAUCAAGUUGCGCUCUGAUACCAUGUUGAACUUCUCACUUUGAUUUCAGAUUUGUUUCUUUUUCUUUUCUUUACUCAAAGAACUCAAUUUUUUAGAACUCUCAUUCAUUCAUUCAUAUUUUUCUUAUUACUUACACUCUCACAUACACCUCCUUAUAACAAAGUUUUUCACACUUA